This 433-nucleotide ribosomal RNA is filed under the name uncultured bacterium. RNAcentral describes it as "partial 16S ribosomal RNA". It matches the Rfam family "Bacterial small subunit ribosomal RNA", at positions 29 to 507 of the family's 1533-position model. The record is from RNAcentral.
AACGAACGCUGGCGGCAUGCCUAACACAUGCAAGUCGAACGAGACCUUCGGGUCUAGUGGCGCACGGGUGCGUAACGCGUGGGAACCUGCCUUUAGGUUCGGAAUAACUCAGAGAAAUUUGAGCUAAUACCGGAUGAUGUCUUCGGACCAAAGAUUUAUCGCCUUUAGAUGGGCCCGCGUUGGAUUAGCUAGUUGGUGGGGUAAAGGCCUACCAAGGCGACGAUCCAUAGCUGGUCUGAGAGGAUGAUCAGCCACACUGGGACUGAGACACUGCCCAGACUCGUACGGGAGGGAGCAGUGGGGAAUAUUGGACAAUGGGCGAAAGCAUGAUAAAGCAAUGCCGCGUGAGUGAUGAAGGCCUUAGGGUUGUAAAGCUCUUUUAACCGAGAUGAUAAUGACAGUAUCGGGAGAAUAAGCUCCGGCUAACUCCGUG